UUUUUUCUGAAUUUUUCUGUCAUUCUGCCUGUAAUUUAUUUUUACUUCAUUUGGUAAUUAAUUACCACCUGUUAAGAAUUCUAAGGGAAACAAAUACUCUAUAUUAUUCAUUUUACCAUCUCAUGGAUUUCCUACACACACACAAAAAUGUGUCCUCGGGAGUUAUUUAGCGCAUGAAAUUGGAACCUGGGACCUCCACAGUUGCCCUGUGGGUCUUUGUCUAUACACACUGAAAUCUCGGGAGAGCCCUGCUUGUAACUUACCUUUCCACCGACACAUCCUGGAACUUGACUGGGGAUUAAACUUUCAUCCCCCAAACCUGCCUCAUAGGCCUGGGAUUCUUAGCACGUGUCAGAGCGUGACCAAGCUUGAACAGUAUUUAUCUGGAUCAACUACUAGGUAAGACUAUUUAUUUAGUACUCCUAAAAUCUCUGUGAUGUUAAUUUACAGUUACAUGGUAGGAUAUAAUUUAAGAUAUUGGAAAAAUACAAGUGACAACCAAAAGAUUUUUCCCAUAGUUUAAUGACUCCAUUAAUAUAUGGAACAUUAUUAGGCAAUCUUGUGUGGUGAUAGUUUCCAUUUGCCUCUCAUAUCCAUUCUUUCCUUCUUUGUUAGCUACCUAGAAUAAAUAUCACAGUAGAGCUGAGUUUGGCUGUCAAACUAAGCUGUGAACAGCUUACAGUACACUGUAAGCAGGUUUCUUAAACAGCGGAAAACUACCCUUCAGCUCUUCAUUUUUCCUCCGGGCUAGAAUAUGGAUGUGAUUGUGAAUGCUGGAGCAUGAGCAGCCACAAUGGGCCAUGAGGUGGAUGGUAGAACAACAAGCUGGAAGAAAUAGUCUGGCUCCUGAGGAUCAUGAAGUCACCAGACCAGCCCUGGACUGCCAACCUCUGGACUUCAUUUACAUGAGCAGUGGAAGGGUACACCCAGGGGACAUCUGUCUGCAGUCAGCCCGUCACCAGCGCAGGAGGAAGCAGAGUCUCAUUCUAU
Molecule: non-coding RNA, 990 nt
Organism: Microcebus murinus (gray mouse lemur)
Lineage: Eukaryota; Metazoa; Chordata; Mammalia; Primates; Cheirogaleidae
Source: RefSeq, a predicted model, not a curated record